GAUGAACGCUGGCGGCGUGCCUAAUACAUGCAAGUCGAGCGAACAGACGAGGAGCUUGCUCCUCUGACGUUAGCGGCGGACGGGUGAGUAACACGUGGAUAACCUACCUAUAAGACUGGGAUAACUUCGGGAAACCGGAGCUAAUACCGGAUAAUAUAUUGAACCGCAUGGUUCAAUAGUGAAAGACGGUUUUGCUGUCACUUAUAGAUGGAUCCGCGCCGCAUUAGCUAGUUGGUAAGGUAACGGCUUACCAAGGCAACGAUGCGUAGCCGACCUGAGAGGGUGACCAGCCACACUGGAACUGGGACACGGUCCAGACCCCUACGGGAGGCAGCAGUAGGGAAUCUUCAGCAAUGGGCGAAAGCCUGACGGGGCAACGCCGCGUGAGUGAUGAAGGUCUUCGGAUCGUAAAACUCUGUUAUUAGGAAAGAACAAAUGUGUAAGUAACUAUGCACGUCUUGACGGUACCUAAUCAGAAAGCCCCGGCUAACUACGU
This 496-nucleotide ribosomal RNA is filed under the name uncultured bacterium. RNAcentral describes it as "partial 16S ribosomal RNA". It matches the Rfam family "Bacterial small subunit ribosomal RNA", at positions 28 to 506 of the family's 1533-position model. The record is from RNAcentral.